RNAcentral lists this ribosomal RNA (435 nucleotides) under uncultured bacterium. Its description in RNAcentral is "bacterial SSU rRNA". It matches the Rfam family "Bacterial small subunit ribosomal RNA", at positions 341 to 792 of the family's 1533-position model. The record is from RNAcentral.
ACGGAAGGCAGCAGUGGGGAAUAUUGCACAAUGGGGGAAACCCUGAUGCAGCGACGCCGCGUGGGUGAAGAAGUAUUUCGGUAUGUAAAGCCCUAUCAGCGGGGAAGAAGAUGACAGUACCCGACUAAGAAGCCCCGGCUAACUACGUGCCAGCAGCCGCGGUAAUACGUAGGGGGCAAGCGUUAUCCGGAUUUACUGGGUGUAAAGGGAGCGCAGGUGGCAUAGCAAGCCAGAAGUGAAAACCCGGGGCUCAACUCCGCGGAUUGCUUUUGGAACUGUUAAGCUGGAGUGCAGGAGGGGCAGGCGGAAUUCCUGGUGUAGCGGUGAAAUGCGUAGAUAUCAGGAGGAACACCGGUGGCGAAGGCGGCCUGCUGGACUGUAACUGACACUGAGGCUCGAAAGCGUGGGGAGCAAACAGGAUUAGAUACCCUGGUA